UUGUACCGGUCACUGCAGGUAUAAUAGCCACCAUGCUUACAGAUGGUACCAUAUCCCCAACGGUCAUUGGUCACAACUGUGUCCCGAACUGGGCUGAAAUAUAAUUGUUUAAACAAAACAUAAAAUAUUUUACAUAAAAGGAAAUGUCACUGGAAAGAUGUCAAACUGAAACCCACUUCUGAAAGAUCAUCAUAACAAUAUAAUGCAAAGCCCAUGGUUUGGAAGUCAAAUAGAUGUGGGUUGGCUGCAAUCCUGGCUCUGUCACUUUCUAAGCUCCCUAUCCCAGUGUAAGGGACCUAACUCCUCUGAAGAAUCAAUUUCCUCAACUGCUAUUAGAGCAGAAAUAAUUUAUGUAAAACACCUUGCCCAUAGCAAGGGCAAGUAAUCAGCACAUAGAGCACUUAUAAGACUAUCAUAUUAUUAUUUGAAGCUCCUUGUCCCACAUAUUAUGAAUGAUAAUCAGAUUUGAAUUUAUACUCAAAAUAUUCUUCUCACCUAUGACUGAAUAAUCUCAUACAUACAUUCUAGUCUUCCUCCUACAGUUGUGUCUAAGGUUGAAAAAUCGCCGGCAAGUGGACUGCUGCCAUCAUGAAAUCUACAAUGGCACGAAAUAAACCCCACAACGUUAUCAUCAGAGCAGGACAAGUCUAAGAUGGACACAGUCUUCGGAUUCCUUUUCAGGAAGAGUUUAAAGCAUCUCGCUCUUGUUCCAAAGGAGUUUGUGAUACUCUUCCACCACCUCUGACUUUUAUGGGCACCAUUGCAGUCCCAUCAUCUUUGUCCCUCUGGAUGAUCUGCGUCACUUUUAUCACUGGCAAACCAUCCACCAUUUGGCCACCUAAGAGUUGGCCAAAAGUGCAGCAAGGUGAAUAAAUAAAAUCAAGAAAGAAAGAAAGACGGGCAAUUCUAAUCAUAAACUUGGAGCUGCAAUCCACAUCUCACUUCAAAUAGCUUUAAAUGAAAUCUUGGAAAUAUUGCUAAAUAUGCACAUAACAAAAUGUGAUUAUUUAUCUUUUUUAUUUGGGGUUUUCUUUGUUUGUUUUUAUGUGGUGGGGAGGUGUCUGAUCAUUCUACAAACCUUAUGCCUCUCAACCGGAUGAAAUACGUGGUCCCUUAAAUUACAGGCAAAAGUCAGUAACCACUAACUGCUGCUCCUAAGAGAAAACUAAUUUCAUGUGCUUUAGUUUCUUCUUCCAAAAGAACUACUUUACAUUUCAUAACUACUGUCAGCAUUUGCAAAUGUUGCAUUUAUUUACCUUCAU
This is a long non-coding RNA of Mustela lutreola (European mink), 1262 nucleotides long. RefSeq lists it as uncharacterized. The record is from RefSeq and is a predicted model, not a curated record. Lineage: Eukaryota; Metazoa; Chordata; Mammalia; Carnivora; Mustelidae. The transcript is spliced from 4 exons.